CCUACGGGUGGCAGCAGUGGGGAAUAUUGGACAAUGGGGGGAACCCUGAUCCAGCCAUGCCGCGUGUGUGAAGAAGGCCCUCGGGUUGUAAAGCACUUUCAGUGAGGAAGAACGCCUGGUGGUUAAUACCCAUCAGGAAAGACAUCACUCACAGAAGAAGCACCGGCUAACUCCGUGCCAGCAGCCGCGGUAAUACGGAGGGUGCGAGCGUUAAUCGGAAUUACUGGGCGUAAAGCGCGCGUAGGUGGCUUGAUAAGCCGGUUGUGAAAGCCCCGGGCUCAACCUGGUAACGGCAUCCGGAACUGUCAAGCUGGAGUGCAGGAGAGGAAGGUAGAAUUCCCGGUGUAGCGGUGAAAUGCGUAGAGAUCGGGAGGAAUACCAGUGGCGAAGGCGGCCUUCUGGACUGACACUGACACUGAGGUGCGAAAGCGUGGGUAGCAAACAGGAUUAGAUACCCGAGUAGUC
This 465-nucleotide ribosomal RNA is filed under the name Vreelandella stevensii. RNAcentral describes it as "partial 16S ribosomal RNA". It matches the Rfam family "Bacterial small subunit ribosomal RNA", at positions 338 to 795 of the family's 1533-position model. Lineage: Bacteria; Pseudomonadati; Pseudomonadota; Gammaproteobacteria; Oceanospirillales; Halomonadaceae. The record is from RNAcentral.